Non-coding RNA from Cinara cedri, 346 nucleotides. The record is from the annotation of a GenBank genome assembly. Lineage: Eukaryota; Metazoa; Arthropoda; Insecta; Hemiptera; Aphididae.
UAUCGUUUUAUUUUCUACUAGAAAAUAAUACCGAUGCCUCACGUUAAUUUUUAAUAUUAUUAUUAAAAUAUUACACUGUAUAUCAGUGGCGUGGCGAUAGUGAUAUUUAUUAGUGGCCAUUUUAACAAAGGUGUUUUCAGGUGUCGGGCGAGUCAGACGGGUGGGUCUCAACUUGCAGGCGAAUGAAAAAAAACUAAUACUGUGAUAUAACAUAAUAAUUUGUAACAACGUAGUAAUAACACUGUAGUAGGUUACUAUAAUAUAAAUUGUCGUAUUACAACCAAUUAGAUAAAUACAAUUUGGAUUUAUUCAAACAAUAAACUUAUUAAUAUACGUGACAAAUGAG